CUCCUCAGUGAGACCGCUACUGCCCCAGUCUGAUCUCCAUGACUGAGUGGUUCCCUCUGAGGCC
RNAcentral lists this small nucleolar RNA (64 nucleotides) under Chelonoidis abingdonii (Abingdon island giant tortoise). The record is from RNAcentral. Lineage: Eukaryota; Metazoa; Chordata; Testudines; Testudinidae.